Molecule: transfer RNA, 75 nt
Filed under: soil metagenome
Also listed under: 1 other name
Rfam family: tRNA
About the family: Transfer RNA (tRNA) molecules are approximately 80 nucleotides in length.
Source: RNAcentral
GGGCCGGUAGCUCAGUGGUAGAGCAGCACCCUUUUAAGGUGAAUGUCGUGGGUUCGACCCCCACCCGGCUCACCA